AAAAGUUACUGAGUUUUUAAUCUAAAAAAUAAACCAGGUGGUGUGGUGGCAUGAAUUUGUAAUCUGAGCUACUUGAAAAUUGGAAGAAAGAGGCUUAUGAUCUGAAGCUAAAGCAUGAGACCAUAUCUG
This is a long non-coding RNA of Perognathus longimembris pacificus (Pacific pocket mouse), 129 nucleotides long. RefSeq lists it as uncharacterized. NCBI's taxonomy places the organism in Eukaryota, Metazoa, Chordata, Mammalia, Rodentia, Heteromyidae. The record is from RefSeq and is a predicted model, not a curated record. The transcript has 2 exons.